RNAcentral lists this unclassified non-coding RNA (215 nucleotides) under Ascomycota sp. RNAcentral describes it as "partial contains small subunit ribosomal RNA, internal transcribed spacer 1, and 5.8S ribosomal RNA". The stretch from base 1 to 47 matches the Rfam family "Eukaryotic small subunit ribosomal RNA", at positions 1785 to 1831 of the family's 1831-position model. The record is from RNAcentral. Lineage: Eukaryota; Fungi; Ascomycota.
AAAGUCGUAACAAGGUUUCCGUAGGUGAACCUGCGGAAGGAUCAUUAUCAAUUUACAGCGGGCUUCGGCCCUGUCUGCACCCUUGUCUUUUGCGUACUGUUUGUUUCCUCGGUGGGCUUGCCCACCGAUAGGACUCCAUACCACCCUUUGUAGUUGCAAUCAGCGUCAGAAAAACAUAAUAAUUACAACUUUCAACAACGGAUCUCUUGGUUCUG